GGGUGCUCGAGUGGCGAACGGGUGAGUAACACGUGAGUAACCUGCCCUCGACUUUGGGAUAACUUCAGGAAACUGGGGCUAAUACCGGAUAGGAGCUCCUGCUGCAUGGUGGGGGUUGGAAAGUUUCGGCGGUUGGGGAUGGACUCGCGGCUUAUCAGCUUGUUGGUGGGGUAGUGGCUUACCAAGGCUUUGACGGGUAGCCGGCCUGAGGGGGUGACCGGCCACAUUGGGACUGAGAUACGGCCCAG
This 248-nucleotide ribosomal RNA is filed under the name uncultured Actinomycetales bacterium. RNAcentral's name for it is "partial 16S ribosomal RNA". It matches the Rfam family "Bacterial small subunit ribosomal RNA", at positions 85 to 334 of the family's 1533-position model. The record is from RNAcentral. Lineage: Bacteria; Bacillati; Actinomycetota; Actinomycetes; Actinomycetales.